Molecule: ribosomal RNA, 931 nt
Filed under: Staphylococcus aureus
Lineage: Bacteria; Bacillati; Bacillota; Bacilli; Caryophanales; Staphylococcaceae
Description: bacterial SSU rRNA
Rfam family: Bacterial small subunit ribosomal RNA
Source: RNAcentral
AUGUUAGCGGCGGACGGGUGAGUAACACGUGGAUAACCUACCUAUAAGACUGGGAUAACUUCGGGAAACCGGAGCUAAUACCGGAUAAUAUUUUGAACCGCAUGGUUCAAAAGUGAAAGACGGUCUUGCUGUCACUUAUAGAUGGAUCCGCGCUGCAUUAGCUAGUUGGUAAGGUAACGGCUUACCAAGGCAACGAUGCAUAGCCGACCUGAGAGGGUGAUCGGCCACACUGGAACUGAGACACGGUCCAGACUCCUACGGGAGGCAGCAGUAGGGAAUCUUCCGCAAUGGGCGAAAGCCUGACGGAGCAACGCCGCGUGAGUGAUGAAGGUCUUCGGAUCGUAAAACUCUGUUAUUAGGGAAGAACAUAUGUGUAAGUAACUGUGCACAUCUUGACGGUACCUAAUCAGAAAGCCACGGCUAACUACGUGCCAGCAGCCGCGGUAAUACGUAGGUGGCAAGCGUUAUCCGGAAUUAUUGGGCGUAAAGCGCGCGUAGGCGGUUUUUUAAGUCUGAUGUGAAAGCCCACGGCUCAACCGUGGAGGGUCAUUGGAAACUGGAAAACUUGAGUGCAGAAGAGGAAAGUGGAAUUCCAUGUGUAGCGGUGAAAUGCGCAGAGAUAUGGAGGAACACCAGUGGCGAAGGCGACUUUCUGGUCUGUAACUGACGCUGAUGUGCGAAAGCGUGGGGAUCAAACAGGAUUAGAUACCCUGGUAGUCCACGCCGUAAACGAUGAGUGCUAAGUGUUAGGGGGUUUCCGCCCCUUAGUGCUGCAGCUAACGCAUUAAGCACUCCGCCUGGGGAGUACGACCGCAAGGUUGAAACUCAAAGGAAUUGACGGGGACCCGCACAAGCGGUGGAGCAUGUGGUUUAAUUCGAAGCAACGCGAAGAACCUUACCAAAUCUUGACAUCCUUUGACAACUCUAGAGA